GACGAACGCUGGCGGCGUGCUUAACACAUGCAAGUCGAACGAUGAAGCCAGCUUGCUGGUGGAUUAGUGGCGCACGGGUGAGUAACACGUGGGUGAUCUGCCCCAAACUUUGGGAUAAGCCUGGGAAACUGGGUCUAAUACCGAAUAUGACCGAUACUCGCAUGGGUGUUGGUGGAAAGCUCCGGCGGUUUGGGAUGGGCCCGCGGCCUAUCAGCUUGUUGGUAGGGUAAUGGCCUACCAAGGCGACGACGGGUAGCCGGCCUGAGAGGGCGACCGGCCACACUGGGACUGAGACACGGCCCAGACUCCUACGGGAGGCAGCAGUGGGGAAUAUUGCACAAUGGGCGCAAGCCUGAUGCAGCGACGCCGCGUGAGGGAUGACGGCCUUCGGGUUGUAAACCUCUUUCACCAGGGACGAAGCGAAAGUGACGGUACCUGGAGAAGAAGCACCGGCCAACUACGUG
This 464-nucleotide ribosomal RNA is filed under the name uncultured bacterium. RNAcentral's name for it is "partial 16S ribosomal RNA". It matches the Rfam family "Bacterial small subunit ribosomal RNA", at positions 28 to 507 of the family's 1533-position model. The record is from RNAcentral.